Molecule: ribosomal RNA, 253 nt
Filed under: uncultured bacterium
Lineage: Bacteria
Description: partial 16S ribosomal RNA
Rfam family: Bacterial small subunit ribosomal RNA
Source: RNAcentral
UACGUAGGGUGCGAGCGUUAAUCGGAAUUACUGGGCGUAAAGCGUGCGCAGGCGGUUCUCCAAGUCCGUUGUGAAAGCCCCGGGCUCAACCUGGGAAUGGCAGUGGAAACUAGGGGACUGGAAUCUGGCAGAGGGGGGUGGAAUGCCGCGUGUAGCAGUGAAAUGCGUAGAUAUGCGGAGGAACACCGAUGGCGAAGGCAAUCCCCUGGGCCUUACCUGACGCUGAGGAGCGAAAGCGUGGGGAGCAAACAGG